GAUGAACGCUGGCGGCGUGCCUAAUACAUGCAAGUCGAGCGAAUGGAUUAAGAGCUUGCUCUUAUGAAGUUAGCGGCGGACGGGUGAGUAACACGUGGGUAACCUGCCCAUAAGACUGGGAUAACUCCGGGAAACCGUGGCUAAUACCGGAUAACAUUUUGAACAGCAUGGUUCGAAAUUGAAAGGCGGAUUCGGCUGUCACUUAUGGAUGGACCCCGGUCGCAUUAGCUAGUUGGUGAGGUAACGGCUCACCAAGGCAACGAUGCGUAGCCGACCUGGGAGGGUGAUCGGCCACACUGGGACUGAGACACGGCCCAGACUCCUACGGGAGGCAGCAGUAGGGAAUCUUCCGCAAUGGACGAAAGUCUGACGGAGCAACGCCGCGUGAGUGAUGAAGGCUUUCGGGUCGUAAAACUCUGUUGUUAGGGAAGAACAAGUGCUAGUUGAAUAAGCUGGCACCUUGACGGUACCUAACCGGAAAGCCACGGCUAACUACGUGCCAGCAGCCGCGGUAA
This 515-nucleotide ribosomal RNA is filed under the name uncultured bacterium. Its description in RNAcentral is "partial 16S ribosomal RNA". It matches the Rfam family "Bacterial small subunit ribosomal RNA", at positions 28 to 523 of the family's 1533-position model. The record is from RNAcentral.